UGAAUUGUUUCUGAUUGACAGGCUUAUUAUAUAUUGGACGAAAUUCUAAUCGCUGGUGAACUUCAAGAAUCGAGCAAGAAAACCGUUGCUCGUUUAAUAGCUGCCCAGGUAUUGCUGUUUUACAGUUUUAUACUUAAAUACAUCUAUAUAAGAAUUUACAGCUGUCUCCAGUCUUUAUUUCCAUUGAUUUGAAAUAAGGCCUGACCUCAGAAUUUUGAGUCCCUAGACUACUAAUUAUAGUUCAUUCAUUCAGUCUCUUUUGUGACAUGAUUGAUUGAAGAUAAGAUUUAAUCAAUCUAAGUUUUGAAAAACUUCUUUCGACGGUGACAACGAUGACAUGAAUAGCCAGUGAUACUUUUUAAGCAAUCCAAACAUUUGCAAAACAACAAUUCAUUCUCAAUGUAAUCUAAAACAUCAAUUGCUCCAUUAGUUUUAGUAGGUAUCACUUCUCUUUUGACUUUCAACUUAGAAAAUGAUUUUAUUCCAUCAAUGUCAGAAAUCAUGUUAUGCUUCAAGUCAUUUUCAAGGUUAAUGUAAGAACACUGCAAACUAGUAAAAUAGAUAUAUUUAAGUUUUUUUUCAAAUCGAAUAAAAAUUCAAAAAUAUCAUCAUAUUUUGGAAAUUGUUCAAAUCUAUUUUGAAGUGAUGAUAGAGCUUUUGAUCUAUUGUAUAUAUGAAAUAAUUUACUCUGAAAGAUUCUUCAACUAUUUAUGUCAUUUCUUCACAAGAAGUUCAUAAAAUUGCUUCUUUAUGUGUACAACUCGUUUUUCACAAAAUAUUGGUUCAAUUUAUAUUUCACUUGCUAUUUCUUUUGCAUCAAUAUUGGCCAAUUCAAGCCUAUCUUUUAAAAAAUGAAAUGAGCAAUUAUAAAUGGUCUAUAACAACAUCAAUAUGCAUGUCUUCUAUUUGCAAGUGUUUGCUUUACCUUGUUAACAAUAUUCAACACUUCAUACCAAAUAACCAUCCCAAAUAAGAAUUAAAAAUUCUCAAUUUCAUAUGUUGUCGCACAUUCUAUCUCACUUCUUGUUUUAGGAUCAUAAAUACUUGUCAAUUGAUAUAGAGCAUUUUACAUUUAAAUGGCAUUUGUGAUAAGGGUUUAAGGGUUAAGUUGUAACGACCUGUCUUGUAUGCCGAAACUGUUAUAUCAUACGUACUGCCCGCUUUAAAUGAACAUUUGUCCACUUAACUCCUCACGGUUUUCUAUCGCGUCAUCGAGGAUUCGAAUCCAAAACAUCUGUCUAAUGAGAGAUUUAAGUUGAAUUUUAGUACCAACUAGACAAGGCAACUUAAAAUGCGAGUUCAAGGCGAUCAGAGGUGAAUUGUGCUUGCGUAGGUGAAAAAGGAAGAAUAAAUUAUGUAGUUAAGGAAUUUAAUAAUGUUCAUUGUAUUUUUCUUAAAACUAAUUUUAAAUUCUCGCAUGUUAAGAAAAAAAUUAUGUUUUUCUUUUGUUUAUGAAUUAUUCUUUUACUAUACAUGUAUAAUGAUUCUAAAGGUAAAAAUUUGGGGUGUUACAUAAGUCAUUUACAUUAUCUUUGAAAUUUUUCAUCGUUUACUAGAUGAUGAAAAGAAAGCGCUUGUAUGUUGCACCAUUUCGAAGAAAGAUUUAGCUUUUGAACGAUAAGUUGUCAUAUCAUAUAUUGUAAGAUCAAGACUAUGGUGCCAACAAGAGUGUAAAAUGCUCUAGGCUUUACUUGUAGUCUAUUUUGCAAUCCUUUAUGUUUUUCUUUCAUGUUAGCGAUGUUAACAUAGUCUUGACCUCUAAUAUCAUUAGUAUCAAGUUCUAAAUUAUUUAAAGCAUCCACAAGUUUAUCAAAUUGUUUCUUCCCAACUAUAUCAUCCACCAAUAAAAAUUCUUUUGCAUUCAUUGGACUUGCUAAAAUACCUACACACCCCAAUAGGACAUUUGUUCUUCAUGACUUGGCUAUGGAGUGCAAUCAAGUAUAACAAGAAAAGUACUUGAUUAAGAUUUUUUGAGUUUCUCAAUAAUUAUUUUCUUAAUUCACUCGCUAACAUACGUAUCAUCUCAUUGUAUUUUAUGCCCAAGAUCAUGAUAAUAAGUCUUCUUUUUUUGUAUUCAGUGAAUUUUCUCUUUCAAUAUAGAAUUAUAGUAUCAUACUCACCAAUAAUUUGAAUUAAGCUUAAGAUGUCACCAUUUUUUGGUAUAUCUUCUCAUUAUCUCCAUGACGUGCUGAAUUAUUUUUUAGCAAGGAUUCUUACCAUAUAUUUCAUUCACAAUAAUACUUGUCUCCAUUGUUCUGUAACUCUAUUUUUUACUGCUCACUUUUAUCAAUUUUUUUACUCUUUUCAAAUCUUAUGUCUAUUUUGAUCCAUCUACUCAUUUUAGUGAUGUGGUUACAAACUACUUCGCGCGUUUAAAAUUUUUACCAAUAUUUUUCCAAUUAUUCACACCAUCAUGGGCCAAUUGAAUUGAUCCCAUCGUUCUUGAAUAACUUACAACAAAAGCAAAAUAUUUUAUCGUAACUUUUGAAUAUAUGAGCCACUUUCUGUUAUACUUCUCUCCAUUAAUCAUCAAACGUAAGGUGCUAAGCAAAAGUGUCUCUUCGCUACAUCUUUCAAAUCACAUUAUUCUCUUGUAGGACCUUUACUACAAUUAAAUUCCUUAAGUUCUAAUUCAUAUUUCCCAAAUUUGCUUGAUCAGUAAGUGGUUCAUUAUCCCUUAUAUUCAUGUUUCCAUCUUUCAUAAUAUCAUCUUCAGCAGAUACUUUUCAAUUCACCAAGUGUUAUUUAUCAAUUGGAUUAUCUCUUAUAUGUUUCAUUAAACCCUCCUUCAGGAACUAUUUUUUCACUAUGCAUUUGUUUAAUGCUAAUAAAAAACUUAUCAAGCGUUCUCUCUUGAGAUUUAAUUAAUUGUUCAACCUUUUUAUUCCUUUUUCUUUUGACACAUCCGAAUUCAAAUAAUCUAGUAGACAUAAUUAUAAGCAAUGAAUAGUAGAACUUGAUUGAUGAGUCUGAAUUAAAAAUAUUGCAAAUUUUGCCAGUGAAGGGAUUUAGCAAUUAGUUUGCAAGAAAUAAUCAAACACCAUUUAAUAUGAGAAUUUAUCGAUCAUUGACCAAUUGAAUAUAUUUAUGUGUCAUGUGAAAACAAUAAUAAAGCAUUUUCCUCUUACACAGCAUACAAAAAAUGAAUUUUCAUUUAAUCAACAAAAUUGACAUUAUUUAGUAUUUCUUGCAAACUGAAUACAAAAGAUAAAAACAAUGAAAAUGGAGGUGAGAAAUGGAUGUGGGUUGGAAAGGAGACCAACAGAAAAAAACAGAGGCAAUUAGUUACAAUGCAUUGGUCCGUUAUGCUGGAAUCGCUAACAAGAAACUGAGAAAAGGGUUAAGGGAUGUCAUCGAUCUAUAAAAUUUCUAUAUUCAAACUAACCUAGGCAAUUGAAUACUAGAAAUGGGUUGUGAGGCCAACUGUGGGAUAGGUCUUUACCUACUAUACUAGUUUAGUAAUUUAGUUUGGAUCUAAUAAGCCUACCAUUUAGUAUAUUUGGGCCCUUUAAAUUUUGAGGCCCCAGACUAUUGUCUAGGUUGCUUUGGCCUAGGGCCAUCAGAGCUUGCAUAAUCUUCUCUUCGAUAGGCUUUACCAAUAGGCUCGACUUUAGGCCAAAGUCACUUAGCAAUGACCUACGGCCUUAAAAUUUGAGGUGCCUAAUAGAAAGCAUAUAUUAGACUUAUUCCGUCAAGGCCUAGAUUAUACAAAAUUAGUGUAGUUGGUAAAGAAAGCGCCUCACCAUCAAUAUUCAAUUGUCCUAUGUUAGUUUGAAUAAGCAAAUUUCAUAUGUCAUCGAUUUUCUCUUGGCCCAUUUCUCAGUUGCUUGCUAGUGAUUCCGACUUUGUCGAUCGACUUGUUUUGGAAUCGCAUCGCAUCUGUUGUUAAUUGACUCAUUUUUUUGAUAGUUUAUCCUUAUCUCUUUCUUGUCUCCCUUUCUGUUGUCUUUAUCCUUUAGUAUUCAACAAGAAAAAUUAAAUAUGUCAAUUUUGUUGAUUAAAUGAAAAUAUUAUCUUCCUUUAUGUUGUAUGGGAGCUCAAAAUACUUUAUUAUUGUUUUUAUAUAUAAAUAUAUUCUAAUUGGUCAUUGAUCGAUUAAUUUCUAUUCUAAAUGGUGUUUAAUUAUUUCUUACUGUUGUUGGAUCAUUUUUGGGGUACUUUUAAUUCGGACUUAUCAACUAGGUUCUAUUACUCCUUGCUUAUAAUUAAUUAUGUCUACUUGAAAAUUUGAAUUUAGAUGUGCCAAAAACACAAAAUAACAAAGUUGAAUAAUUUAUUAAAUUUUAAGAUGGAGCAAUCGAUAAGUUUUUUAGUAGCAAUGAACAACCAAAAAAUAAAGACAUAGUUCAUAAAGGAGAGUUUAAUGAGAAUGAUAUGGAGAUAUGAUGAUUAGAAAAAUAUUGGUGAAAGACUUACAACAUAUCAAGAGAGUUGUGGCCAAGUCACUAAUAUGAGUAGAUGACUCGAAAUGAAAAUACGAUUUGAAAAGAGUGAAAUAGUUGAUUGGUGUGUAGAAACAAAUUAAUAAGAUAAAAGAAAUAUUUAAUAUAAGUAUUAUUGAGAAUCGUAUAUGUGAUGAGAACUCUUGCUGGGAAUAAUUUAGCAUUUUAUAGCAAGAGAAGACAUACCAAGAAAAUAAUAUCUUCUUAAAGCUAAUUCAAAUUAUUGGUAAAUUUGAUCUUGUAAUACGAGAAUAUUUUUGAUGAAUGCAAAAUUAAGAGAUUCGUUAUCAUUAUCUUGGGUACAAAAUUCCAAAGGAGUUGAUGUUUAUGCUAGUUGGUGAGAUCAAGGAAAUAAUUAUUGAGAGACAAAAUAUUGAAGUAAUAAUCUAUUAUACUUAAUUGCACUUCAGAUUUGAAUAAUGAAGAAUAAAUGCCUAUAGUAUUGAGUAGGUAUUUCAACAAGUCAAGCGAAAGUAUAAUACUUUUUAAGAUUUUUAUUGGUAGAUGAUACAUCUAGGAACGAACAUUUUGAAGAAUUUGUAUAUGCUUUGAAUAAUGUAGAACUUGAUAUUGAUGAUUUAAGGGGUUAAGGCCGUGAUAACGGUGAUAACAUGAGAAGAAAACAUGAAGGAAUGUAGAGUAUUAUAAUUAAAUUGUAAAGCACUCUGCACUCCUUGUGGGUGUCAAUAUUCUUAAUCUUACACUUUAAGAUAUGGUAACCUAUUGUUCAAAGCCUAAAUCUUUCUUGAAGUGGUGCAAUAUAAAUACGAUGUAAAUACGUUGGAAAAGCCAUUGUGGAAGAACUAGUGCAAUAAGAUUCCAAACUACACAAUAGAAAAUGCUCUACUUCAACCGAUAAGUGUUGUUGAUCCUAAGAUAAAAAGUGAGGAGUAUGUUUACUAAUAUAGAAAUUGAGAAUUUUGAAUUCGUACUAGGGAUGGUAAUUUGGUAUGAAAUGUUAAAUAAUGUUGAUGGGGGUAGAACUAUAUUUUUAGUUGAAUGUUUUAAAGGAAAUGAUAAUUACAAAAACUAAUGGCGUAGUUCAUACGUUAGAUUACAUCAAGAGAAUGAAUUUUUGUUUUGCAAAUGCUUGGUUGCACAUAGAGUAUUAUUGACUAUUUAUGUCAUCAUUGCAUGUGCAAAAAGAAGUUUUUCAAAGUUGAUUAAGUCUUAUUUUCGAUCAACUAUGUAACAAGGAUGAUUGAAUAGAUUAGCUUAGAUGUCUGUAAAAAAUUGAUUUGAGUCGUUUGAUUAUUAAUUUUACAUCUAAAAAUGUGAGAAGACUAAAAAAUUUGAAGAGAUUAGCUUAGAUAUCUAUGAAAAAUGCUAGUCUAAUCCCUUUGGUUGUGAGAGAGAUUAUUUUGCUACUUUUAUCUUUCGAAUUGUACGGAGUCUUCAUUUACAUACAUACAUACAUACAUACAUACAUACAUACAUAUAUAUAUAUAUAUAUAUAUAUUUAUUUAUAUAUAUAAUUAAAAUAUUUAUGUAUUUCUGCAUUUGUAGAAGAAAAAAAAUAUGUUUAGAGGUCUCAUAAUAUUUAGUUGCUUUAGUUCUCAAAAUUCUCAGGCUUGUUUACCAAUAACAAAGAGAUAAUUAUAUAACAGAUUGAGGACCAAAGAAUUGCAUAUAACUUUGAGAAGUGGCAAAGUGGAUAUUAUUGAGUUUGAUAUUGAAGGUGACAUGAAUUCUUUGAUUAGUUACAAUGGAAGUCUGGUUUUGCUCGACGAGAAAAAUGAAUUACAGGAAAACUGAUGUUUAGUGGAAUGACAUCUAGAUGAAAACCUAUGUGCACUAUUCUAGUUGAUAAUCGUCCACUCUCUGUACAUUUUUUUGAUGAAAUAAUUGUCCACUCUCUGUACAUUCUUUUGAUGAACUUUCUGAGAAUGGCUGCUGUCUAGUUAAUGUUUAACAAAGUUCUUGAAAGGAGAAAACUAUUCAUGAAUCUUCUCUUAAUAGUCCCAUAGAAGGAUAUUCACUGGAAUAAUUAUUUUUACUAGUGGCAGAAUGUAACAGAUUACAGCUAUAUUUUCUUAAUACAUUUAUAGCAUUUUUUCCCAAGCCUGUACAGAUAUUUACAGAGCUUUCAACUGAUUUACUAUUUAAGAGCCAAGAACUCAUGCUAUAUGUGAUUUUGAACCUGUUUCAGCGGCCAGUUAGGUCCUGUGUCCAAGGUCAUUCCAGUUUGAGAGAGACGUA
Molecule: long non-coding RNA, 6641 nt
Filed under: Olea europaea subsp. europaea
Lineage: Eukaryota; Viridiplantae; Streptophyta; Magnoliopsida; Lamiales; Oleaceae
Source: RNAcentral